RNAcentral lists this ribosomal RNA (511 nucleotides) under uncultured bacterium. RNAcentral describes it as "partial 16S ribosomal RNA". It matches the Rfam family "Bacterial small subunit ribosomal RNA", at positions 28 to 523 of the family's 1533-position model. The record is from RNAcentral.
GACGAACGCUGGCGGCGUGCCUAAUACAUGCAAGUCGAGCGGAUCUUCAUUAGCUUGCUUUUGAAGAUCAGCGGCGGACGGGUGAGUAACACGUGGGCAACCUGCCUGUAAGACUGGGAUAACUCCGGGAAACCGGAGCUAAUACCGGAUAAUCCUUUUCCUCUCAUGAGGAAAAGCUGAAAGACGGUUUCGGCUGUCACUUACAGAUGGGCCCGCGGCGCAUUAGCUAGUUGGUGAGGUAACGGCUCACCAAGGCGACGAUGCGUAGCCGACCUGAGAGGGUGAUCGGCCACACUGGGACUGAGACACGGCCCAGACUCCUACGGGAGGCAGCAGUAGGGAAUCUCCCGCAAUGGACGAAAGUCUGACGGAGCAACGCCGCGUGAGCGAUGAAGGCCUUCGGGUCGUAAAGCUCUGUUGUCAGGGAAGAACAAGUACCGGAGUAACUGCCGGUACUUGACGGUACCUGACCAGAAAGCCACGGCUAACUACGUGCCAGCCGCCGCAGUAA